CAGCCGCCGCGGGAAUACGAAGGGUGCAAGCGUUACUCGGAAUUACUGGGCGUAAAGCGUGCGUAGGCGGUGAGUUAAGUCUGCUGUGAAAUCCCCGGGCUCAACCUGGGAAUGGCAGUGGAUACUGGCUCGCUAGAGUGUGUCAGAGGAUGGUGGAAUUCCCGGUGUAGCGGUGAAAUGCGUAGGGAUCGGGAGGAACAUCAGUGGCGAAGGCGGCCAUCUGGGACAACACUGACGCUGAAGCACGAAAGCGUGGGGAGCAAACAGGAUUAGAUACCCCCGUAGUCCCUGUCUCUUAUAC
This 301-nucleotide ribosomal RNA is filed under the name uncultured bacterium. Its description in RNAcentral is "partial 16S ribosomal RNA". It matches the Rfam family "Bacterial small subunit ribosomal RNA", at positions 509 to 807 of the family's 1533-position model. The record is from RNAcentral.